CUGUGUGCCUCCACACACCCCCUGCUUAGGCUGGUCCCUCUCGGCUGCUUUCUAAGCUGUGCUGCUGGAGCCAUUGCUGCUCUGGCUUUCUUCUUUGUUCUUGCGUGGCUUGUGCUUUUUGUAAAAGAAAAUGUUCAGCACAGGUGGCCAGUGGAAGCAUGGCUCCGAGUGGUGCCUCCUCUCAUCGUCUGGCUGUUUUCUCAGGCUUUUAAUUUUAUGUUAUAAAAGGUUAUCUAGGCAGGAAGGUGCUCAGUACUUCACGGAUUUUAGGGUAUUGUGUUUCUGCAGUGCUAAUAGUGAAUUAUACAAAACUAAAGGAAUUGUGAUGAAAGUGUUUACAUGUACGUUUGUGGUUUGAUGCUGGUAGUUAAUGCUUUGUACCCUGGGUAUUUUACAAAAUAAAUGACUGAUACAGUUGAAUGCAAACUCGGAUGAAAGAUGUGGUCUUAGUAACCCCUUUGAGGCAUUUGAUCCUUGGCUCACAAUAGCUACCUACUUUGCCAGAGAAAUGCCCAUCAAUCCUGCCAAGUUCAAGGUAAGUGACAGCCUAAUUUGUAGGGGAGGGGAGGGCUGGAUUAUUACUUUAAAACCAGGUUAAUUUUUUUAGGACCAUAGCCGAGCAUGAGCUUUCCAGUCUAAAAUGGUAAUUUCCUUUCCCUUCAGCUUCUUCCGGAAAAGGCACUGCUGCAUCACUGUUGCCCUGUGUGCAGGAGUCUGAGCUGGUCAAAGGGUGGCACAGGUUUCCUUCAGAUUUCUUGGAGAAACCUGGAAUCUUGACAUCAAAUGCUAAUGCGCAAAUGCUAAGAGGAAUGGGGCAUCUCCUGUACAGAAGCCUGCUCGGGAACCUAGAUAAUGAAGGGUGACUGUGAAGUUGAAGAACAGAUUAGAAGUUCUCAUCUAAAAGAGCGAAGCAAAGUGCAGCAAUAAACAUGCAGUUCUUAGGAACUGUUAAUGACCGAUGAGGGUUCUGCCCAGAAGCUGAUAUCCAGCAUGCCUUCACAUCUGCAGAAAUGGUAGCUGAUUCGGCAGAAGAGGUUGGCCUGAACAGGAUAUUAAUGAGCUAUUAAUAGAGAAAAAUGAGAAAUUGCUUGAUUGUUGAUCUUCUAAUUGUUUGAGUUGGGGACAAAUUUUGAAUGCCAGUAAGUAAUCUAACUCUUUCAAAGCUAAUCAAAAUAGAUGUUGUUGUCAUGCAGAUUACCUUU
This is a long non-coding RNA of Strigops habroptila (Kakapo), 1202 nucleotides long. RefSeq lists it as uncharacterized. The record is from RefSeq and is a predicted model, not a curated record. NCBI's taxonomy places the organism in Eukaryota, Metazoa, Chordata, Aves, Psittaciformes, Psittacidae. The transcript is spliced from 4 exons.